UACGUAGGGGGCUAGCGUUAUCCGGAUUUACUGGGCGUAAAGCGCGUUAAGGCGGCUUGUUAAGUUGAUUGUGAAAUUUCAGGGCUCAACCCUGAAACUGCGUUCAAUACUGGCAAGCUGGAGUGUGAGAGAGGAAGAUGGAAUUCCCGGUGUAGUAGUGAAAUGCGUAGAUAUCGGGAGGAACACCAGUGGCGAAGGCGGUCUUCUGGCUCAUAACUGACGCUGUAGCGCGAAAGCGUGGGGAGCGAACGGGAUUAGAUACCCCGGUAGUCCACGCCCUAAACGUUGUGUACUAGGUGUUGGGCAUAUUGACGUGCUCAGUGCCGCAGCUAACGCAUUAAGUACACCGCCUGGGAAGUACGGCCGCAAGGUUAAA
This 376-nucleotide ribosomal RNA is filed under the name uncultured bacterium. Its description in RNAcentral is "bacterial SSU rRNA". It matches the Rfam family "Bacterial small subunit ribosomal RNA", at positions 524 to 898 of the family's 1533-position model. The record is from RNAcentral.